UACGUAGGGUGCGAGCGUUGUCCGGAAUUAUUGGGCGUAAAGAGCUCGUAGGCGGUGUGUCGCGUCGGCCGUGAAAACCUGCAGCUUAACUGUGGGCUUGCGGUCGAUACGGGCAUCACUGGAGUUCGGCAGGGGAGACUGGAAUUCCUGGUGUAGCAGUGAAAUGCGUAGAUAUCAGGAGGAAUACCGAUGGCGAAGGCAGGUCUCUGGGCUGACACUGACGCUCAUGCACGAAAGGCGU
This 241-nucleotide ribosomal RNA is filed under the name uncultured bacterium. RNAcentral's name for it is "partial 16S ribosomal RNA". It matches the Rfam family "Bacterial small subunit ribosomal RNA", at positions 524 to 763 of the family's 1533-position model. The record is from RNAcentral.